UGGUAGCCAUAAAUGGUUCCUAAGACUAUUU
Molecule: non-coding RNA, 31 nt
Filed under: Rattus norvegicus (Norway rat)
Lineage: Eukaryota; Metazoa; Chordata; Mammalia; Rodentia; Muridae
Source: RNAcentral